UCGCGGCCUAUCAGCUUGUUGGUGAGGUAAUGGCUCACCAAGGCGUCGACGGGUAGCCGGCCUGAGAGGGUGACCGGCCACACUGGGACUGAGACACGGCCCAGACUCCUACGGGAGGCAGCAGUGGGGAAUAUUGCACAAUGGGCGCAAGCCUGAUGCAGCAACGCCGCGUGAGGGACGACGGCCUUCGGGUUGUAAACCUCUUUUAGCAGGGAAGAAGCGAAAGUGACGGUACCUGCAGAAAAAGCGCCGGCUAACUACGUGCCAGCAGCCGCGGUAAUACGUAGGGCGCAAGCGUUAUCCGGAAUUAUUGGGCGUAAAGAGCUCGUAGGCGGUUUGUCGCGUCUGCUGUGAAAUCCGGAGGCUCAACCUCCGGCCUGCAGUGGGUACGGGCAGACUAGAGUGCGGUAGGGGAGAUUGGAAUUCCUGGUGUAGCGGUGGAAUGCGCAGAUAUCAGGAGGAACACCGAUGGCGAAGGCAGAUCUCUGGGCCGUAACUGACGCUGAGGAGCGAAAGGGUGGGGAGCAAACAGGCUUAGAUACCCUGGUAGUCCACCCCGUAAACGUUGGGAACUAGUUGUGGGGUCCAUUCCACGGAUUCCGUGACGCAGCUAACGCAUUAAGUUCCCCGCCUGGGGAGUACGGCCGCAAGGCUAAAACUCAAAGGAAUUGACGGGGACCCGCACAAGCGGCGGAGCAUGCGGAUUAAUUCGAUGCAACGCGAAGAACCUUACCAAGGCUUGACAUAUACGAGAACGGGCCAGAAAUGGUCAACUCUUUGGACACUCGUAAACAGGUGGUGCAUGGUUGUCGUCAGCUCGUGUCGUGAGAUGUUGGGUUAAGUCCCGCAACGAGCGCAACCCUCGUUCUAUGUUGCCAGCACGUAAUGGUGGGAACUCAUGGGAUACUGCCGGGGCAACUCGGAGGAAGUGGGGGAUGACGUCAAAUCAUCAUGCCCCUUAUGUCUUGGGCUUCACGCAUGCUACAAUGGCCGGUACAAAGGGCUGCAAUACCGCGAGGUGGAGCGAAUCCCAAAAAGCCGGUCCCAGUUCGGAUUGAGGUCUGCAACUCGACCUCAUGAAGUCGGAGUCGCUAGUAAUCGCAGAUCAGCAACGCUGCGGUGAAUACGUUCCCGGGUCUUGUACACACCGCCCGUCAAGUCAUGAAAGUCGGUAACACCUGAAGCCGGUGGCCUAACCCUUGUGGAGGGAGCCGUCGAAGGUGGGGCUGGA
This 1231-nucleotide ribosomal RNA is filed under the name uncultured Actinomycetes bacterium. RNAcentral describes it as "bacterial SSU rRNA". It matches the Rfam family "Bacterial small subunit ribosomal RNA", at positions 231 to 1472 of the family's 1533-position model. Lineage: Bacteria; Bacillati; Actinomycetota; Actinomycetes. The record is from RNAcentral.